RNAcentral lists this non-coding RNA (23 nucleotides) under Rhodopseudomonas palustris. The record is from RNAcentral. Lineage: Bacteria; Pseudomonadati; Pseudomonadota; Alphaproteobacteria; Hyphomicrobiales; Nitrobacteraceae. RNAcentral also lists the same sequence under 5 other names.
UGCGGCUGGAUCACCUCCUUUCU